GAAUUAUUGAUAUCCCACAAUGCACUGUGCAUUCAAGAAAUCCUCUGUAUUAAAACAUUUGGGUCUUUUUCUAAGGUCUUUUUCCAAAUCUACUUUUAAAUCUAUUGAUUGCAUUUCUAGCCCAUCAGAGUUCAUGAAAAUGGUCAAUUGUGCACACGCAGUUUAGCAGUGAGUUUAGCCAGCUGCAGCCUCAUAACGAGGCUGAGCCAGGGUGGACUAAACCCGCGCCUCCUUCACCCGCUUUUCGGGUACCGAUUCCCGAAACCGGAAAUGGUCAAAACGGAAGUAGGAAGUUGUGGGCUGCGCAUAUUUGAAGAAGUAAAAUACUAUAUUUAAAGCAUUUAACCAAAAUAUUAACAGAAUAAUAAAUUGAAAACACACCGCACAAAUUCGAUGUUUACUAUAUAUAAAUUAUCGAUAAAAAAAGUGCGCGUUUUAUAUUAAGACCCUAUUAAAAUUAUGGCAACACUAAGUAUAGUUUAAUUAUAAACAGACAUGAUAUUGUUUAAUUUCCACUAAAAUAUCAAUGCAAUUCGAAACCCAAACAAUUGCCAAAUGCAAACAAGUCCUUUUCAG
Molecule: non-coding RNA, 576 nt
Organism: Paramuricea clavata
Lineage: Eukaryota; Metazoa; Cnidaria; Anthozoa; Malacalcyonacea; Plexauridae
Source: the annotation of a GenBank genome assembly